GACGAACGCUGGCGGCGUGCUUAACACAUGCAAGUCGAACGGAAAGGCCCUGCUUUUGUGGGGUGCUCGAGUGGCGAACGGGUGAGUAACACGUGAGUAACCUGCCCUUGACUUUGGGAUAACUUCAGGAAACUGGGGCUAAUACCGGAUAGGAGCUCCUGCUGCAUGGUGGGGGUUGGAAAGUUUCGGCGGUUGGGGAUGGACUCGCGGCUUAUCAGCUUGUUGGUGGGGUAGUGGCUUACCAAGGCUUUGACGGGUAGCCGGCCUGAGAGGGGGACCGGCCACAUUGGGCCUGAGAUACGGCCCAGACUCCUACGGGAGGCAGCAGUGGGGAAUAUUGCACAAUGGGCGGAAGCCUGAUGCAGCAACGCCGCGUGCGGGAUGACGGCCUUCGGGUUGUAAACCGCUUUCGCCUGUGACGAAGCGUGAGUGACGGUAAUGGGUAAAGAAGCACCGGCUAACUACGUG
Molecule: ribosomal RNA, 468 nt
Filed under: uncultured bacterium
Lineage: Bacteria
Description: partial 16S ribosomal RNA
Rfam family: Bacterial small subunit ribosomal RNA
Source: RNAcentral